GCGGCUUGGACUGAUUGCACUCCUGGUUUCAACCGUGAUCAGUUGGAUAGAUGGAUGGACGAAAAUAGAAUCCCAGAAUGGGUUCUGGGAGCUAAAUAGAAAGAAGAAGGCCCAGAGGCACAGACAGAAGUCCCCCAGAGAUACAGAGGUUGUGGGGGAGAGGAGGAGAAACAGUGAGAGGAAGAGAAAAAAGACCCCAAAUGGGAAAACUGCCAAGGAGGAAGGGCCUAGGAGAGUGACGAAUGAUGGAGAGAGCUCAUAACCUCCUUUUCAGCUGGUCUGAGGGAGCAGAGAAAUUGGAUCACGAAAACUGGUAGGAGAAGCUAGGAGAAGGGCCGGGAGAAGACAGUGUAUCUGAUGACCCAGCCUGAGGCUUGGAAUUAGAUGAUGAUUCUUCCCAACACAGCGCCGAGGAUGAGGGAGAAAGCUGUUCUCAACAGGGAGCUCACCUCUCCUGGCCCUCCUAUCACAGAGCUUGGACCCACAGGUUCUCCCUCCCUAUGAACUUCUCCAGGACCUUCUUAUAGAUACAUCGGAAAAGAUAUAUCAAAAUGUCCUUCUGGAGAAGUGUGGCCUGGUGAAGACACGGAGUGGAUAGUUUGUACUAGGAGACCCAAGGAUUCCAAUUGGCACAUGGCUGUAGGUCUCCAAAGGUGGCUUCUGAUACUGCAACCCCAAGAAACAGCAGCCUCUUCAGGUCUGUCGCUGCUCUGUAUCAAUGAUUUGGAUGACAAUCAAGAAAGCAUUUCAUCAAGCGUAUGGAUGUUUGAAAGAUGGAAUUCACAGACAAGGUAAAGUCAAAAUCAGGUUCUUCUUACUCCUUCAAUGGCCACCUUCCUCCUACAGAUGAAGCAGCCUUGCAGAUUUCUUCUUCCUUCCUUCCUGUCUGCUUCUGAGUCAGUUCACCCCAAUGCCUGUGUCAUUAUUGCCCAUACCACCUGAACCCUCUGACUUACAGAAUUCCAGUCUGCAUUUACUCCUCAGAGUGCCCCUAACACAAGACAAUUGUGUGGAGCAGAUUUUUACUGACAUUUUGGGGAGUAGCAGAAGAUAUUUGGAGCAUAGAGCAGAAAACAACUUCAAAUUAGAAGUCAGAUACCAAACCCUAGAAAUAUACAGUUUGUGGCUCCUCCCUGUGUGUCAGCAGCCGGCAGCAUCUCUUGGUUUCCUCCACUGGCCCUACUUGAGG
This is a long non-coding RNA of Canis lupus familiaris (dog), 1189 nucleotides long. RefSeq lists it as uncharacterized. The transcript is spliced from 3 exons. The record is from RefSeq and is a predicted model, not a curated record. NCBI's taxonomy places the organism in Eukaryota, Metazoa, Chordata, Mammalia, Carnivora, Canidae.